Molecule: long non-coding RNA, 221 nt
Filed under: Helianthus annuus (common sunflower)
Lineage: Eukaryota; Viridiplantae; Streptophyta; Magnoliopsida; Asterales; Asteraceae
Description: sRNA HanXRQr2_Chr17g0796661
Source: RNAcentral
UUGUGUGAUAGUUAAAUAGAUGUAUAUAAACGGUUGGCACCCUUUUUACGAAAAUGUAGUACUUGAACAUGUUGAGAUUACGGGUUUGCUAACCAAGUUAUUAUUGAGUAUGUUUGAAAGUGCAGGUUAUGUAUGUCGGACUUUCGAAGUGUUGAUAUAGAAAUAAAACGAUUGAAUGAUGGAAGGUUAAUUGGGUGGAAGUAACUUAUGCGGUAAAUCCU